Molecule: long non-coding RNA, 584 nt
Organism: Zootermopsis nevadensis
Lineage: Eukaryota; Metazoa; Arthropoda; Insecta; Blattodea; Termopsidae
Source: RefSeq, a predicted model, not a curated record
CUAGAGACGGCAGUCGGUGAAUGUACAUCAUAGUCAUCGCUCCAACUGGUAUCUGAUCCGAAUUCUUCAAGCUCAGUAGAAGCGAAAGGCGACUGGAAGAAUGUUUGGAUGGGGACUGACGUUUUUCCCAAGAGACGCGAUGACUUCGUGGAAUUCGUACCAGGGAUUCUGAGUGUCUCAUUUCGUAGAAUUUCUGUUCUGCGAAGAGACGGGGGCAAAUUACUGUAUACAAAAGUUCUUGAACCGUGCGCUGUAUUUAUGGCUUUUAUAUGAAUGCGGAGUUCUCUGUAGGGAAUUAGCGAGUAGUCGUCUUGGUUCCAGGACACUGGAGUAACAGGCGCGCGUGCGGCUAUGUUUGAAAAAAAUCAAGUAUGUGUAUCAUAACGUAGCACAAACAGCAGAAGUCAGUGAAUCUUUGAUUUACUCGGAAAAAUAUUACUGAAAAACUUGUCUCUCUUCUUACAUUUUAUAGUUGUAAUACAUUUCCUGGAAAGCGUUGAGAACUGAAUCAGCGUCAUCUUGCGUCUCUGUUAGUGACAAACAAGUAACGAGCAGACCGAGUGCCGUUCGGAUGCAGAAUAUUU